Molecule: ribosomal RNA, 468 nt
Filed under: uncultured bacterium
Lineage: Bacteria
Description: partial 16S ribosomal RNA
Rfam family: Bacterial small subunit ribosomal RNA
Source: RNAcentral
GACGAACGCUGGCGGCGUGCUUAACACAUGCAAGUCGAACGGAAAGGCCCUGCUUUUGUGGGGUGCUCGAGUGGCGAACGGGUGAGUAACACGUGAGUAACCUGCCCUUGACUUUGGGAUAACUUCAGGAAACUGGGGCUAAUGCCGGAUAGGAGCUCCUGCUGCAUGGUGGGGGUUGGAAAGUUUCGGCGGUUGGGGAUGGACUCGCGGCUUAUCAGCUUGUUGGUGGGGUAGUGGCUUACCAAGGCUUUGACGGGUAGCCGGCCUGAGAGGGUGACCGGCCACAUUGGGACUGAGAUACGGCCCAGACUCCUACGGGAGGCAGAAGUGGGGAAUAUUGCACAGUGGGCGGAAGCCUGAUGCAGCAACGCCGCGUGCGGGAUGACGGCCUUCGGGGUGUGAACCGCUUUCGCCUGUGACGAAGCGUGAGUGACGGUAAUGGGUAAAGAAGCACCGGCUAACUACGUG